RNAcentral lists this small RNA (127 nucleotides) under Marmota monax (woodchuck). The record is from RNAcentral. Lineage: Eukaryota; Metazoa; Chordata; Mammalia; Rodentia; Sciuridae.
UCUGGGUGUGGUGAUGCAUGCCUGUAAUCCUAGAGGCUUGGGAGGCUGAGGCAGGAGGAUCCCAAGUCCAAGGCCAGCCUCAGCAACUUAACAAGGCCCUAAGCAACUCAGUGAGAUCCUGUCUCUA